Molecule: ribosomal RNA, 274 nt
Filed under: uncultured bacterium
Lineage: Bacteria
Description: partial 16S ribosomal RNA
Rfam family: Bacterial small subunit ribosomal RNA
Source: RNAcentral
CUACGGAGGGUGCAAGCGUUACUCGGAAUCACUGGGCGUAAAGGACGCGUAGGCGGAUUGGAAAGUCAGAUGUGAAAUCCUACAGCUUAACUGUAGAACUGCAUUUGAAACUUCUAAUCUAGAGUAUGGGAGGGGGAGAUGGAAUUAGUGGUGUAGGGGUAAAAUCCGUAGAUAUCACUAGGAAUACCGAAAGCGAAGGCGAUCUCCUGGAACAUAACUGACGCUAAGGCGUGAAAGCGUGGGGAGCAAACAGGAUUAGAAACCCUAGUAGUCC